Molecule: ribosomal RNA, 253 nt
Filed under: uncultured bacterium
Lineage: Bacteria
Description: partial 16S ribosomal RNA
Rfam family: Bacterial small subunit ribosomal RNA
Source: RNAcentral
UACGUAGGGUGCAAGCGUUAAUCGGAAUUACUGGGCGUAAAGCGUGCGCAGGCGGUUAUGUAAGACAGAUGUGAAAUCCCCGGGCUCAACCUGGGAACUGCAUUUGUGACUGCAUAGCUAGAGUACGGUAGAGGGGGAUGGAAUUCCGCGUGUAGCAGUGAAAUGCGUAGAUAUGCGGAGGAACACCGAUGGCGAAGGCAAUCCCCUGGGCCUGUACUGACGCUCAUGCACGAAAGCGUGGGGAGCAAACAGG